UACGUAGGGUGCAAGCGUUAAUCGGAAUUACUGGGCGUAAAGCGUGCGCAGGCGGUUAUGUAAGACAGAUGUGAAAUGCCCGGGCUUAACCUGGGAACUGCAUUUGUGACUGCAUGGCUAGAGUUUGGCAGAGGGGGGUAGAAUUCCACGUGUAGCAGUGAAAUGCGUAGAGAUCGGAAAGAACACCAACGGCGAAAGCACUCUGCUGGGCCGACACUGACACUGAGAGACGAAAGCUAGGGGAGCGAACGGG
This 253-nucleotide ribosomal RNA is filed under the name uncultured bacterium. Its description in RNAcentral is "partial 16S ribosomal RNA". It matches the Rfam family "Bacterial small subunit ribosomal RNA", at positions 524 to 776 of the family's 1533-position model. The record is from RNAcentral.